AAUACAUUUCUGGGAAAAAGAAGUUACAAAUAACAUUCAAGGUCCAAUUUCAUAUUCAAAAUCCAAGAUUGCAUCACAAGAAGUCUCAUUUACAAAUUACACAAAAAUUCUAGGUUUGACCUAAGGUUUUAUUUUUGGUCAACUGUUGACUUUUGGUCAAACAGCUGACCAAGGUCAAACUAAAUCCGAAGCCUAUAUUUUUUCUCCAUUCUCAUGAUUUCCAUGUAUGGCUCCAAAACUUUUUAUCUUCAUGUCCAAUGGUCUAAACUCCAAGAAACAUUUAGACAUGCCAUGACCCAAAUCCAAGCUCCAUGAUAAAGACUUCAUGUUUCACUAGGCCAAGAUUUGCAGCAGCCCCUGCAAAACCCAAGUCAUAUUAGCAUCAUACAUCACAUAUAAGCACACAUAAGAUUUCAUGCAUAGCUAGGCCAAUCAACAUUGCACCCAGAACAUAAUUCCAUAAGUUAUUCACACAACAAACAAUAUGCAUCCUAAUUUUCAAGAGCAUUAUCAUCAUUGUCAGCACACAUAUGCACAUCCAAAUACAUUAUGACAUAACCAUUCUAUCCUAAAUUCACAAUACACAAAACCAUAAUGUCUUAAAGCAUCACCAUCAUCACAACCAUUUGGGAUCUUAACUACAUAUUACAAUGCCAUUCCAAACAUGUUCAAAUCUCAUGACAAUGCACCAAAUACACAGUCCAAAACCUGCUACAUCAUACAACAUAAACCUAUAUCACGACAUUUCCAUAUCACAAAUAUCAUGAUAGAUGCACAUCUCAAAUUUCAAUCAUCAAAUAGUCAAAACAAAGUGCAAAUCCAAAUCAAUUUAGAAUAUACACUACUCAUACAUACCACAACACAAAUGCAAAGCAUCAUAAAACCAUGCUACAUCCAAAUCCAUACAUACAUACAUACAUGGCCACAAUUGUCAUAACAAUUUCUAACCAAACCCUAACUGUCAUGACUAAUCCUAUACUAACCAAUCAAAAUUACUUCCAAUCACUUUACUAACCUCACCUCUAACUGUUAAAAUCAACCUCUAACAUAUAACUCAACUAACUAAUUAAAUUGUUACCCUAACUAACUAGCUCUCAUUCAGUUAACUAACAACUGAGUUAUCAAGACUAACACCAUCCCACAACCAUCCUUCAGUUCCUCAUCAACUACCCAGCUGUCAUGGUUUUGUUAUCAUUUCCAAAUUGACCAACAUCUUCCGAUGACCAUUACCAUUUUUUUACAGCUAUUUAAAUUUUUAUUCAAACUUAUAACCAACUAACAUUCAAAUAACAAUUAAACUAAUUCAUUUAACUAACCCUAACUAUUUUCCAUCCUUUGUAACUAACUAGACAUUGAUUUCUAACUUCUAUUAACCUUUUUCCAUUAUCAAAGUUAAUUACCGAUCAACUGACCUUUUAACUAGUUCAAUUGGCCUAACAGUUAACUUCUAACUUCUAACAGUUCAAGUUUCUAAUUCAACAAUCAACUAACGCAGUUCAAGCUAACAUAAUUUCUAACUGUCUUAAAUUAGCACUGUUAAUUAACACUAACUAAUUUUCUCAUGAAACAACUAACUUUCACGGUUGCCCUAACUUUCAACUAACAUUUCCUUAAAGCUACAUGAGUUAGUUAUCAAAUUUCCCUCCAAUCCAAUAUUCAAGCUCUCCUAUAAAAAUUCACUCUCUCUUCAGUCAUCGAUGAAAUUCUGGUAUCAGAUAUGAGACGUCGAAGAUAAUGUCACGACACUAAUAUCUGAACAAUAUAAACAGGAUAAAAGAUAAAGAACAGUAAUGCAAGUGACACAAGCAAUUGUUAACCCAGUUCAGUGCAAACUCACCUACGUCUAGGGGCUACCAAGCCAGGAAGGAAAUCCACUAAACAUAAUUAGUUCAAACACUCUCAGUAAACAACUUCAAGUUACAAUCUUUUCACCUAAUCUCUAACCGUGUGACUUCUACCUAAGAACUCUUAGAUAUGAGAUCCUACUCACUCCCCCUCAAUCACACCAGUGAUGUAAAACAAGUAUUACAAUGAAAAGAAGACACUCUUCAAGAACACAUACUUGAUCUUGCUUAAAAGCUUCAAUCAAGUAAACACACACUCAUGCUUCAAAGCUUAGAGUGGACAAAUUACAACUCAAAAGUCAGUCCAAUUGGAAUCAUCUAUGGAUGAAUAAUUGCUCACAAUACACACGACACACGAAGACAAAACCCUUAUUCUCUCUCAAUAUUCGUUCAUUAUUUCUUGUGUAUAAACCAGGUUUCCACGCCCUAUUUAUAGAAUCGUUUGGUUGGGCUUGGACAUCAUAAAACCUAAAACUAUUUUCCAUUCAUCUUUCUCAUGACAGCUGAUUAUAUCUCGUUGGAAAAUAAGUUAAUCUAGUUGUAAUUACUGAUUGGAAUGCGCGUUUCAAUCAUCUCUUCAAUCAUACAUAGAUUAGCAUAAAAAAUGCAAUCACACAAUACAUAACAUUCAGACUGAAUGUUCUGUAUACAGAUGUCAUGACAUCGGGUCUGACAUCUCAGUAAAAUCCUGCAUGUUCUCAUUUUAAACACCCUGCAGGUACAUGUUAUCUUAUGUCAAGACAACAGUUGUGACAACUUGUGAACACUCUAGGUUUUACCAAAAUUGCUCCCAAGACAUAGAACCAACAAUUGAAGAGACACGGUUCACUCACCCUCACUCUGAAUUCUUCGUAUUUUCUCUACAACCUUCUCUCUCACCCUCAAACUUCAUUAGAGCUCUUCAAGAUACUCCUCAGAACUUCAUAUUGAAGCUCCGAUCUUAACAUUGAAGCUCUAAAAGAGUACAACUUGGCCUCACUUCUCGCAGUUUCUACACUCUACUCCUAACCAAGCUACAACAAGGAGAGUUCCCUACAGACUAAUUCCAGAAGAAGAAGAAGAAGAAGAAGAAGAAGGAAGAAAGAAAAUUACAUGGAUUAGAAUUCAGGGCAUACCUGAGCAUAUCUCUGGGUUUCUCUUUGCAUCUCCAUCUUAAAGCAUUUUAACAACUCUCAUAUCAUCCCUCUGCUCUGUAGGUAGGCAUUUCUUCUUCGAUCCCUUCUCUUAUUUGCGGAAAACGUUUUACCAUACUAUAGGAUUUUGAGUGAGGAAUAAAAUCCCUAAGGUGGUAGCUUAAAUUUGUGAGUUGUGAGCAUUUAAUUUUAAAUGGAAGAUAUAGGGUUCUUGAAGUUUUUUUGGUGGAUUGGAGGUUUCAGCAGGAUUUGAUGAAAAAUGUUUGGAGAAAUAGAAAGAGGAUGAGAAGGGGAGUCUAAAGGUGGUGGUAUGCUGCAUUUUUGCGCUCCGCCGCCUCCGAAGUGAUUCCCUAUGCGACAGAGCAAUUUCUAGCCACUUGAGUUCUUUUAGAGAGGGAGAGAGGCGUCUAUUUAGAAUGAAGAGGAAGUGAAGUGAGACUGAAACUUCUCCAUUCCUUUGCCCUUGUGGUGGGCCUCAAGUGUAAGCCUAAAAGGCUUUUACUUCAUUACACCUCAGCCAUACUGAUUCACACCCUCCACUUUGAAUCAAACCAAGAUAACUAACAUGGGCCUUCAGCUUCUGGGCCCAACGCAUUUUUUAUCAGACUCCAUUUUCCUCAAAUGCAUCAUUGGUAGAGUGAUUAAUUAUUAAUUAUUUUUUUGAUUGAUUUUAAUAUUUUGUAACACAUUAAAAAUGGACAUUAAAGACAAAUAUAAUUCAUUAGAUUAAGGUUUUAAUUAGGUUAAGAUAUUUAGUUAGACUUAAUUUUGUUUAGGUUUAGUUCUUAAAUGAAAAUUAGAUAUAGGUUAGAAAUUAGGGUUUAACAUGUUGAAUUCCAUUUCCAAUAACUUUAAUUUUUUUCCUUCAUGAUUCCAUAUGUUGACAUGCGGCUCUUAGAAUAUUCGUCUUGAUUGAUUAGUUGAUCAAAUUGGCUUUGAUCAAUUAAUUAGAUUAAAAUUUAGGAAUUUUUUUGUAUGAUUUUUCAAGAACCAAUUUGCAUGUUUCCUUAGGAUUCACAUUUAAUUAAGUGAUCAUAAGUCCCUUUAUCACUUGAUUGAAUUAGAUCUUCAUACUUACCUACACUUGAACCACUAAAUCAAUUCUAAUCCAUAUCCAUUCAAAACUCUAGAACUAGGUGAACAUCAAGGCAUGCUAAACUUUAUCCUAUUCUUCGGUACCUCAAACUUUUUUUCCAACCUUGUUCCCUAAACUCAUCCAACACAAAACAAAAACAAUUCUUUUCUUAUUCAACCUCAAAACCCUUAACCAUUUUGAUGUGAAUUGUGUUCCAUAAGUAGAUAAAGAAUAAGAGGGAGUAUUCCUAUCCUUAUUCUGAAUGUCUCUAGAUAUGGUACGCUUGACUCAUUUGUUCAAAGUACUCACCUUCAUUCAUAGACUUUAGGGCAGUUCAAAUCAAAACAACUUUCAACAUUCACCCUCAGACUAAUAACUCAACAAUCCACAUAAAAAACACUACUCUCUUUGGACCAAACACAAUACUCUUUGGACACCCAUACACUUUUGAGGUUAAUCACGUUAUGUUUGUUAAAACACCUCCUUCAUGGGUUAAUCACCUUCUCUUGGUUAAGCACUUGUCUCUAAACCACACACCUCUCUUUGUGUUAAUCACCUUCUCAUGGUUAAAACUCUUUUUCAUGCAUGUCUGCCUUGUGAGUCCCAGUGCUUAGGAAGACCCCUUUCAUGCAUGUGUUUCCUUGUGAUACCUAGUGCUUAGGAAAACCCCUCAUUUUCAUGCAUGUUUGCCUUGUAAGUCUCAGUGCUUAGGCAUGCUCCUUUUUUUACAUGUUUGCCUUGUGAGUACCAAUGCUUAGGAAAACCUUUCUCAUGCAUGCUUGCCUUGUGAGACCCGGUGCUUAGGCAUGCUACCUCAUACAUGCUUUCCUUGUGAGACCUAGUGCUUAGGCAAGCCACCUCAUGCAUGUUUUCCUUGUGAGACCCAAUGCUUAGGCAAGCCACCUCAUGCAUGUUUUCCUUGUAAGACCCAGUGCUUAGGAAAACCCUCUUCUCAUACAUUUCUUCCUUGUGAGUCCUAGUUAUUAUGCAUACCACCUCUUUCAUGUUUGCCUUGUGAGUCCCAGUGCUUAGGCAACCCUUUCUCAUGCAUGCUUUCCUUGUGAGACCUAGAGCUUAGGAAAUCCAUAUCAUGCAUGUUUGCCUUGUGAGUCUUAAUGCAUAGGCAUACAUCUCUCAUACAUGUUUGCCUUGUGAGACCCGGUGCUUAGGAAAACCUUUUUCAUCCAUCUCUGCCUUGUGAGUCCCAAUGCUUAGGCAGACCCUUUUCAUGCAUGUUUGCCUUGUGGGUCCCAGAGCUUAGGAAAACCCCCUUUGUAGGCCUUGGCCCCCGAAUAUAGGAAAACCCCUGCAAUUAUGCAUUGGUAAAUCACUAUUUAUUGGUUAAAUACCAUACUUCUGGUUCAAAAACCAUUAUAUGGGUUCAAACAAUCCACUCUUGGUUCAAGCAACACCUUCACCGCUUCAUAAACCUUUUCAAUUCAUUUCCAAACUACUAUAUUUCCAUAAAAGGACUAUUAUAAUCCAUUCCUUAGCAGUCAGACCAAAAUCUUAAAGAAAUUGAACUUGAAUCAAACCACCUAACGCCAAAGCACUUCUAGGAUACGAUUAUAACACCAUUCCCUAAAAAUAACCAACAAAUACAUAGUUUUCUACCACGAACUAUGUAGCUCUGCUUUUCUCAUUGCAUUACGAGAAUACGUAGGCACGAGGGUUUGAAUCCUUGGUGAACACAUUGAUUAAUAAAUUAUUUUCCCACUUAAUUAAGACCAAUGCAAGUAACCUUUAGAUUAUAACACCCAUAUGCGUAAAGAAUAAUCAAAAUGGUUCUCGUUGAGUACAACAAAUGUGAGGGAUGCUAAUACAUUCCCCUUGCAUAACCAACUUCCUUACCCUUUUUAUAUUCCCUUUGGGUUUUACUGAUAUUUUCUCUUUCUCUUAGAAUAAAUAAAAUUCUGUGGCGACUCCGUUGUAUUUCGAGCGUGCGAUGCGCUCCGGUACUUUUUUGCAGUGCGACAGUUCUGAAAUCAAACUAUAUCAAGGUUUCAAGCCUAUCAAAAGAACUAGUUCCGAAAAGAAGUUAUUCAAAUUAUGAUUGAUCGGAAUCCGUAGUUGUUCAUCAGCAUCUGAAGGCAUCAAAUUCUGGUCUCGACCCAGCUCUUGAUGACAGCUCAGCUUCUUAAAGGAUGAAGGGAAUCUGAUCCGUACACUGUACCAAACCAGUCUUGUCUUAUCAAAGCCCCAUAUUUCUGGACAGAUUUAACUAGGGUUUCAUUUUGCAAGGCUCAAGAAAUAGAGAUGUGACAUCUUCAUUAUAAUCUACCUUUUGGUAGAUAUAUAGUACAUUUAAAGGUACUAAGAGUGUUGCUAUGAUUCAAUGGACAAAGCUAUAGAUCAUAUGCUAAUCUCUAAUGGCUUUCUUGGAAUACUUCUUCACUAAGCUUGCUCGUUAUGUUCAAAUCCUCCAACGACUAUUUUCUUGGACCUAUAAAAAGAAGUUCAAGGAUAUGAAGAAGUCCGAAGAUGAUUGGUCAAGUUGAUCAAUAUGGGUUUGAUUUAGAAAGAAGCCUAUUUUCAUGGGAUUGAGCAGGAAGUCCUGAAUGGAUUAUUCAGGUAAUGAAGUCUCUUGAUUGAGGCUUUAGAAUAAGUCUCUUUCUAGUUUGAUUGAGCACAAGGUAAUAUGUUGAUUAUAGUAAAAAUCUCUUGUGCUACAAGGGGACUGGAGUACUCUCAGAUUGGGAGGAACCGAAAUAUAUUGUGUGUCUCUUUAUUUACUUAUGCUUUUUACAUUGCACUGUGCAACAAACUCUGAAGUUAGACUCUGAUCUGAUUCACAAUCUUACUUGGAUCAGAACCUUAGCUUGACAUUUUAGGUUCUGAACAGGUUUAAGAAAAAGAAGUAAAUUUCCCAUACAUAAUUUAACCCCCCUUCUUGUGUAUAUUUUUCUCACCUUCUAAGACAACAACAAAAUAUCUUGGAAACCGUUUUUCUUGUUUAAAAGGAAGACUGAUUAAAAUUCUAGAUCCUCAAAAGUCAGAAAACCAGAAGAAGCUUCUGAUGGAGAAGAUUAUAAUGGGGUUUUUGAUGAUGAGGAAAUGGAUUUCUUUAUCAAGAGGUUUCAACAGUUAACCAAUAUAUUCUCUAGUAAAAGUUCUAACUUCAAAGGUUUCUAUUCCAAAAAUAGAGAAGAUGACCAGAAGAUCUGCUCUAGCUGCAAUAAGCCUAAUCACUUUUAAAAUUAUUGUCCGAAUCUAAAAAAGGAAAGAUCUUUUAAGGGAAGCCUUAUAAAGGAAAGUUUCAAGAGCAAGUUGAAGAAAGGUCUCAUGGCAACUUGGGAUGAACUUGAUGACAACGAAGAUUUAGACAGAGAAGCUGAAGAAGCCAACCUUGCACUGAUGGCUCUCACACUCUCUUAUU
RNAcentral lists this long non-coding RNA (7428 nucleotides) under Lathyrus oleraceus (garden pea). RNAcentral's name for it is "Pisum sativum (pea) long non-coding RNA (PSAT_LNC035612)". The record is from RNAcentral. Lineage: Eukaryota; Viridiplantae; Streptophyta; Magnoliopsida; Fabales; Fabaceae.